RNAcentral lists this transfer RNA (107 nucleotides) under Candidatus Bathyarchaeota archaeon. Its description in RNAcentral is "tRNA-Leu". It matches the Rfam family "tRNA". From Rfam's summary of the family: Transfer RNA (tRNA) molecules are approximately 80 nucleotides in length. Their secondary structure includes four short double-helical elements and three loops (D, anti-codon, and T loops). Lineage: Archaea; Thermoproteati; Candidatus Bathyarchaeota. The record is from RNAcentral.
GCAGGGGUUCCCAAGCCAGGCCAAAGCCCCUACAAGCGGCUAAAGGGGGCGGACUUAAGAUCCGCUGACGAAGGUCUUCGUGGGUUCAAAUCCCACCCCCUGCACCA